UGCAUUUACUACUGUAAGUCGCUCUGGAUAAGAGCAUCUGCUAAAUGACCAAAA
Salmo salar (Atlantic salmon) is the source of this 54-nucleotide non-coding RNA. NCBI's taxonomy places the organism in Eukaryota, Metazoa, Chordata, Actinopteri, Salmoniformes, Salmonidae. The record is from Rfam.